UUGAUCAUGGCUCAGAUUGAACGCUGGCGGCAGGCCUAACACAUGCAAGUCGAGCGGAUGAAGGGAGCUUGCUCCUGGAUUCAGCGGCGGACGGGUGAGUAAUGCCUAGGAAUCUGCCUGGUAGUGGGGGAUAACGUCCGGAAACGGGCGCUAAUACCGCAUACGUCCUGAGGGAGAAAGUGGGGGAUCUUCGGACCUCACGCUAUCAGAUGAGCCUAGGUCGGAUUAGCUAGUUGGUGGGGUAAAGGCCUACCAAGGCGACGAUCCGUAACUGGUCUGAGAGGAUGAUCAGUCACACUGGAACUGAGACACGGUCCAGACUCCUACGGGAGGCAGCAGUGGGGAAUAUUGGACAAUGGGCGAAAGCCUGAUCCAGCCAUGCCGCGUGUGUGAAGAAGGUCUUCGGAUUGUAAAGCACUUUAAGUUGGGAGGAAGGGCAGUAAGUUAAUACCUUGCUGUUUUGACGUUACCAACAGAAUAAGCACCGGCUAACUUCGUGCCAGCAGCCGCGGUAAUACGAAGGGUGCAAGCGUUAAUCGGAAUUACUGGGCGUAAAGCGCGCGUAGGUGGUUCAGCAAGUUGGAUGUGAAAUCCCCGGGCUCAACCUGGGAACUGCAUCCAAAACUACUGAGCUAGAGUACGGUAGAGGGUGGUGGAAUUUCCUGUGUAGCGGUGAAAUGCGUAGAUAUAGGAAGGAACACCAGUGGCGAAGGCGACCACCUGGACUGAUACUGACACUGAGGUGCGAAAGCGUGAGGAGCAAACAGGAUUAGAUACCCUGGUAGUCCACGCCGUAAACGAUGUCGACUAGCCGUUGGGAUCCUUGAGAUCUUAGUGGCGCAGCUAACGCGAUAAGUCGACCGCCUGGGGAGUACGGCCGCAAGGUUAAAACUCAAAUGAAUUGACGGGGGCCCGCACAAGCGGUGGAGCAUGUGGUUUAAUUCGAAGCAACGCGAAGAACCUUACCUGGCCUUGACAUGCAGAGAACUUUCCAGAGAUGGAUUGGUGCCUUCGGGAACUCUGACACAGGUGCUGCAUGGCUGUCGUCAGCUCGUGUCGUGAGAUGUUGGGUUAAGUCCCGUAACGAGCACAACCCUUGUCCUUAGUUACCAGCACCUCGGGUGGGCACUCUAAGGAGACUGCCGGUGACAAACCGGAGGAAGGUGGGGAUGACGUCAAGUCAUCAUGGCCCUUACGGCCAGGGCUACACACGUGCUACAAUGGUCGGUACAAAGGGUUGCCAAGCCGCGAGGUGGAGCUAAUCCCAUAAAACCGAUCGUAGUCCGGAUCGCAGUCUGCAACUCGACUGCGUGAAGUCGGAAUCGCUAGUAAUCGUGAAUCAGAAUGUCACGGUGAAUACGUUCCCGGGCCUUGUACACACCGCCCGUCACACCAUGGGAGUGGGUUGCACCAGAAGUAGCUAGUCUAACCGCAAGGGGGACGGUUACCACGGAGUGAUUCAUGACUGGGGUGAAGUCGUAACAAGG
This 1487-nucleotide ribosomal RNA is filed under the name uncultured bacterium. Its description in RNAcentral is "16S ribosomal RNA". It matches the Rfam family "Bacterial small subunit ribosomal RNA". The record is from RNAcentral.